UACGUAGGCAGCGAGCGUUGUUCGGAGUUACUGGGCGUAAAGCGUGCGUAGGCGGUGGUCCAAGUCUGGUGUGAAAUCUCCCGGCUUAACUGGGAGGGUGCGCCGGAAACUGGGCCGCUGGAGUACGGGAGAGGCAAGCGGAAUUCCAGGUGUAGCGGUGAAAUGCGUAGAUAUCUGGAGGAACACCCGUGGUGCAGACGGCUUGCUGGACCGUGACUGACGCUGAGGCACGAAAGCCAGGGGAGCGAACGGG
Molecule: ribosomal RNA, 253 nt
Filed under: uncultured bacterium
Lineage: Bacteria
Description: partial 16S ribosomal RNA
Rfam family: Bacterial small subunit ribosomal RNA
Source: RNAcentral